This 366-nucleotide ribosomal RNA is filed under the name uncultured bacterium NIC022. RNAcentral describes it as "bacterial SSU rRNA". It matches the Rfam family "Bacterial small subunit ribosomal RNA", at positions 53 to 447 of the family's 1533-position model. The record is from RNAcentral. Lineage: Bacteria; Pseudomonadati; Pseudomonadota; Gammaproteobacteria.
ACAUGCAAGUCUGGCGGCGAGUGACGAGCGAAUGAGUAAUACAUCGGAACGUGUCCUAUAGUGGGGGAUACCCGGCGAAAGCCGGAUUAAUACCGCAUACGCUCUACGGAGGAAAGGGGGGACCUUAGGACCUCGCGCUACAGAGGAGCCGAGGUCAGAUCAGCUAGUUGGUGAGGUAAAGGCUCACCAAGGCGACGAUCCGUAACUGGUCUGAGAGGAUGAUCAGUCACACUGGAACUGAGACACGGUCCAGACUCCUACGGGAGGCAGCAGUGGGGAAUAUUGGACAAUGGGCGAAAGCCUGAUCCAGCCAUGCCGCGUGUGUGAAGAAGGUCUUCGGAUUGUAAAGCACUUUAAGUUGGGAGG